GUUUUCUUUAUAAAUGCUGAUAUUAAUCAAUUAUCAGCUAUAUAUGUUACAAAUAUGUUCUCCUUGUUUGUACCCUACUUUUUCUUCCUCCCUUCCUUGUUACUUUCCCCCAAAAUAUCUGUGGGUUUGGAAUAAGAGGGGGAUCUAUCCAUGUCAGUUCAGCCCAUCACAUUGUAUAGAGAUUCCCAGUAGACUCUUCCUCUUAAAUUUUCCCAUUCCUAGCUGCUUCAGCAGUCUUUCCUAGCGAACUUUUUGGAAAAAUAGACAACUCACUUGACAUAUGAGUUAUUUUCACUUUCAAAUUGUGAACAUACAGUAAUUAUUUUUUUAUUUUUCCCACUGAGUACCAUUUGGAAUUAAACCAAUUUCUAAUAUUCCUCCAUAACCUUAGCUGACUGAACACAUAAUUUAUGGGUAAUUGCAUAAUUUAUGUGCAACUUGACAGCUGCUAUAAUGCUUAGCGAAUUUUAAUAACAUUAGAAUUAUUUGCCUAAAUGGUAUUCUGAGAGUCAAAAUUUUCAUUUUGUUCUGUUUUUCCUUCUCCAAAGCUCUUAAUUCUGCAUGAAAUACAACAUUAAGUCUACAAAUAUUCUUGCUUUCAGUUCUCAGGUUAUAUCGAAACUCUAUUUCAGUGGUUUAUAAAUUCUCUAAGGAGAGAGACUCUGUUGAUUUUGCUUCCCAAUGUAUUCCUUGUGCUGGAGCACCAUACCUGGCACAUAGUAGCUUCUUUAGAAAAUACUUGCUUAAAAUAAAAUACUUGCUUAAUGAAUUAUAUGAUGUAUAAACCCACAAAAAUUUGGCCAUAUAUCUUUAAGAAUCUAAAACUGUUCAGAGGCUGUGGACCAAUAAAUCUGUUUUGAGGCAUGCAUUCUAAGAAAGAGCUCUGAUCAAUGCAGGCAGAUUUAUAUACAAGGAUGUUUAUGCAGUCACUACUGAUAAAUAACUUUGGAAGCAUAAACAUGAAAUAUUCAACAAUAAUGAAUUUGUUCAAAUAGUUAUGGGACAUACAAAUAAUAAUGUCAUGAUGUCGUUAAAAAUCACAUUUUCAAAGCACAUAAAAAACACAUACAAAACAGUGUUAAGUAAAUAACACAGAACCCGGAACCGAAUUAUUCAACAUGAUCCUAAUUUUGGUAUAUGAUAUGCAGGCAUAGAGAAAACCGGAAAGAAAUAGACCAGUAGUUUUCAGUAGCUGUCUUUGAGGGGUGGGAAUCACCCAUAUGUAUGGCUACUGCAUUAGACUGCAAACACCUUAAAAUUAGUACCAAGUAUUUUAGCUUGGUAUUGCUAUAGUUUAGCACUGCACUUGGGACUUGUGGUACUCAACAAUUCAUUAGAAAAUGCCCUUAAAAACAGUAUAAAUACUUAAUCCUUUAUAGCCCAUUAUCAAUAACUUGUCAUUGGUCAUGUAUUCUAAAAUUUCUUUUAUCAUCAUAUAUUUCUGUUUGCAGACAGGUGGUUGGCGGGCCAUGCCAGCCGCAUCCACCACAGGCAUUCUGGGGCCUGGAAAUGGCAGAGGCUCAGAGGCACCAGCCCUCGAAUGCCUGCAGGCUGCGACGACAAAGUGUUUUUGCAGAAUUUAUGACUUAGUUGUGUGAAAGGAACUCUGCAUGCAGAGUGUGUGCAUCUUUGAUUUGAAAUACAGGUAUUUCCAUUCACUUCUGGUGGGAGGUCAUCAAACACGAGGCACUAAGCGUGCUGAGCCUGCCAUGGCUUCCAUAAAUUAUCUAUGGUGAUUGCAUUUUGGCUACUUAAGGAUGAUUUGGAGUUUUGGGCUGUAUGUUGUCAUUAAGAAAUAUUCUGAUCUCAUCACAUUACCCAGUUGAUUGCUGUUGAACAAGAAAUGCAGCAAGACUGGAAGGCAAACCAAAGAAAGGCUUUUGUUUGGAGCCUGAGAACUGCAGUUUGGGAGAGACUGAGGAGCAGGAAUGAAAAAUCUGUUCCAAAGCAAGGAGAAAAGAGGCGGGCUUACAAAGGCAAAGAGGAGGCUCCCUGUAAAGCCACGUAAGUUGUUUGUCAAGAAUUGUGAUUGGUGUUGACAAGCUGAAGCUAUUCUCACCUGCACGUGGUUGGUUGCUAAGGGCUAUCACUAAGCAAAAAGUCUGUGUUCUAAGAAGAAAGAAGUUCAUUUCUUGACACGGCAGCAUUGCCACUGGUGCUCCAAGAUGCUUGGCAACGACCUAUAUUUUCAAGUUUAUCUUUUCUUUCAGGUGGGGAUGUACAUCAGCUCUGCUUCCUCGAUGGCCUCCUGGCUCCAUUUGGAAUCAGUCUCUCAGCAGCACCGACUCUGUGUUGAUAUUUUCUUUCACGUCGCUAAGAUCUGAUCCUGUGUGGAAAGUGUGAGACUCUCAGUGCUGAUUUUGUAGUCCAGCCAGAAGAACCUUGGAAAGAAGAAAAAUAUCGUCCUCAUCUUCAAUUGGCCUAGUUGGCAGGUUACACUUCCACUGGAUAUUUGCCGUGAAAGUUCUGCAGCUUUGAGAUCUUGGGACAUCGGACAGAUAGCUGGUAGAAGAUUUUAUUCAUUUGAGAGAGAGAGAGAACACAAGUAGAGGGAGGAGCAGAGAGGAAGGAG
Long non-coding RNA from Canis lupus familiaris (dog), 2572 nucleotides. RefSeq lists it as uncharacterized. NCBI's taxonomy places the organism in Eukaryota, Metazoa, Chordata, Mammalia, Carnivora, Canidae. The transcript has 3 exons. The record is from RefSeq and is a predicted model, not a curated record.